This 498-nucleotide ribosomal RNA is filed under the name Spelaeophryne methneri (African striped frog). Its description in RNAcentral is "partial 16S ribosomal RNA". It matches the Rfam family "Bacterial large subunit ribosomal RNA", at positions 1940 to 2616 of the family's 2925-position model. Lineage: Eukaryota; Metazoa; Chordata; Amphibia; Anura; Brevicipitidae. The record is from RNAcentral.
CCCUAACCGUGCGAAGGUAGCAUAAUCACUUGUUCAUUAAAUGUGGACUAGAAUGAACGGCAUCACGAGGGUUGUACGUCUCCCUACUCCUAUCAAUGAAUCUACUUUCCCCGUGAAGAAUCGGGGAUAUUAAUAUAAGACGAGAANACCCCAUGGAGCUUAAAACCUUUACCAAUUUUUAUAUUUACAUCCUCAAAUAUAGUAAAUUAUGGCUCCCUGGUUUUGGGUUGGGGCGACCAAGGGGAAAAAUAUAACCCCCAUGAUGGACAUAUUUUAAGAACCACACUUCAAAAAACCACUACUAUGGCAUCUCUUGAUCCAAAUCAUUUGAUCAACGAACCAAGUUACCCUGGGGAUAACAGCGCANUCCAUUUCNAAAGCUCCUAUUGACAAAUGGGUUUACGACCUCNAUGUUGGAUCAGGGUAUCCCAGUGGUGCAACCGCUACUAAAGGUUUGUUUGUUCAACAAUUAAAACCCUACGUGAUCUGAGUUCAAAC